UGGGAUUGUAGUUCAAUAGGUCAGAGCACCGCCCUGUCAAGGCGUAAGCUGCGGGUUCGAGCCCUGCCAGUCCCGAC
This 77-nucleotide transfer RNA is filed under the name Rhizanthella gardneri. RNAcentral describes it as "tRNA-Asp". It matches the Rfam family "tRNA". Rfam says of the family: Transfer RNA (tRNA) molecules are approximately 80 nucleotides in length. Their secondary structure includes four short double-helical elements and three loops (D, anti-codon, and T loops). Further hydrogen bonds mediate the characteristic L-shaped molecular structure. tRNAs have two regions of fundamental functional importance: the anti-codon, which is responsible for specific mRNA codon recognition, and the 3' end, to which the tRNAs corresponding amino acid is attached (by aminoacyl-tRNA synthetases). tRNAs cope with the degeneracy of the genetic code in two manners: having more than one tRNA (with a specific anti-codon) for a particular amino acid; and 'wobble' base-pairing, i.e. permitting non-standard base-pairing at the 3rd anti-codon position. Lineage: Eukaryota; Viridiplantae; Streptophyta; Magnoliopsida; Asparagales; Orchidaceae. The record is from RNAcentral.